Molecule: long non-coding RNA, 1051 nt
Organism: Xiphias gladius (swordfish)
Lineage: Eukaryota; Metazoa; Chordata; Actinopteri; Istiophoriformes; Xiphiidae
Exons: 2
Source: RefSeq, a predicted model, not a curated record
GGGACAUGGAAACUGCUGCUCAGGGGUAUUUUGUGCAUAAUGAUGUCUUGUCUCAGGAUGUCUCAGGAACACAGUUUUGUGGGAAAACCAACUGAGCAAAUUGUGGUGCCUGCUAAAUUUAGAGAAGCGGUGAUGAAAGCUUCCCAUGAUCAUGUAGUGGGUCAAAUGGGUUUUAAUAAAAAACAUACCAUCGCAUCUUGCGUCAUUUCUUUUGGUCCUGGUUGAAAAGGGAUGUAUCUGCGUUCAUAAAAACUUGCCACACUUGCCAGCUGAUGGAUAAGCCAAAUCCGUCCAUAAGUCCGGCUCCGCUGUGUCCAAUUCAAGCUUUGGAUCAGCCAUUUGAGCAUUUACUCAUGGACUGUGUGGGUACGCUGCCUCCCUCAAAGGCGGUAGUCAAUAUUUGUUGACUGUGAAUGUGAUGUGCCGGGCGACCCGCUAUCCAGUAGCCUACUCAUUGCGUUCUAUUACAGCCAAGUGUGUGUUGAAGGCACUGUCUCAGUUCAUUUCUGUGUUUGGCAUUCCCAAAGUCAUAGAAACUCACCACGGUUCCAAUUUUCGCUCUCAUCUGUUUUCACAGGUUUUUCAGCAGCUUCAGAUUAAACACAACCAGGCGUCGCUUAUCAUCCCCAAAGUCAAGGUGCUUUAGAGCGUUUUCUUUAAAACCUUGAAUUCACUCGUGUGCCUUCUUCACAAAGCUUGAUCACUACUGGGGGGAGGGCCUGCCUUGGUUGCUGUUGGCUGUGAGAGAGUUAGUCCAGGAUGCAGGCAGAGUGGCAGAGGUGCGUCCAGACGGAUGAUGAGCUACACCUGAAGCAACUCCUCCUGAUUGCUAGCUUAUAUAAGAGGGCUGGAUAUGACAGUUCUCUCUCUCUCCUCCCAGCAGACAGUAGUUUGGGUUUUCAUUACUAUUUUACUUCAUCCUUUGCCUGCACCAGACGUUCACACGUUCAAGCACUCAUCUCACUACUGAUACAAUGGACUCGCAUAUCUCCCAGUAAAAUUUGUGGAUUGUCUAAUAUUAGUGAAAUAAAUGUGUUACUUUGAUCCUUGA